This 480-nucleotide ribosomal RNA is filed under the name uncultured Pseudomonadota bacterium. RNAcentral's name for it is "bacterial SSU rRNA". It matches the Rfam family "Bacterial small subunit ribosomal RNA", at positions 97 to 573 of the family's 1533-position model. The record is from RNAcentral. Lineage: Bacteria; Pseudomonadati; Pseudomonadota.
GGCGGACGGGUGAGGAACGCUUGGGAAUCUGCCUAUCAGCGGGGGACAACACGGGGAAACUCGUGCUAAUACCGCAUACGCUCUACGGAGGAAAGCCGGGGACCGCAAGGCCUGGCACUGAUAGAUGAGCCCAAGUCGGAUUAGCUAGUUGGCGGGGUAACGGCCCACCAAGGCGACGAUCCGUAGCUGGUCUGAGAGGACGAUCAGCCACACUGGAACUGAGACACGGUCCAGACUCCUACGGGAGGCAGCAGUGGGGAAUAUUGGACAAUGGGGGAAACCCUGAUCCAGCGACGCCGCGUGGGUGAAGAAGGCCUGCGGGUUGUAAAGCCCUUUCGGUAGGGACGAAAGCUCUCGACCUAACACGUCGGGAGGUUGACUUAACCUACAAAAGAAGCACCGGCUAACUCUGUGCCAGCAGCCGCGGUAAUACAGAGGGUGCGAGCGUUAAUCGGAAUUACUGGGCGUAAAGCGCACGUA